RNAcentral lists this long non-coding RNA (1305 nucleotides) under Junco hyemalis (dark-eyed junco). Its description in RNAcentral is "lncRNA (ENSJHYG00000008651.1)". Lineage: Eukaryota; Metazoa; Chordata; Aves; Passeriformes; Passerellidae. The record is from RNAcentral.
AAAACCCCAAAUUCGUUUCCCUUGACGGCGCCUUCAGAUGAGAUCCACGACGGGAUGAACCUGGAGCUCUACUACCAAUAGAACCCACCAGUAUAAACCAGUACAACCCAGUCCGGACCAGUGCAGCCAGCCCAGCGCUACCAGUAUAUCCCAGUAUAUCCCAGUCCCCUCCCCCAUUUCCGGCCCGGCCCCGUUUGUUGAUCAAUAAAGGCGAUUUUGGGGCCUCCGGGCGAUUUUUGGCAUUUCCCGGCCACGUUCCAGAGCUUGUGUCGCGAUUUUAAGGAGAAAUCCCGGUCUUGUGUCGCGAUAUCGCGAUUUGAGGCAAUACUGGGGGGUUGUGUCGCGAUAUCGCGGUUUUAAGGCCACAUUGAGGGGUUUUGUGGCGAUAUCGCGAUUUUAUGGUGCCAUAUCGCGAUGUUUCCCACGGGGGUACCCGAGCCUGGGCACGCGGAGCUCCCGGCAGGGAUAAACCCCGCGGUUUGUGGGGAUCGCCGGCGAUACGGGGGAGAAUCGCGACAGAGGCUCGGAGCAGGCGCUGCUCGGGGCAGCCCCGUCGUCAUGGUAACGGUGGCUUUUUAAUCAGGCGCCUCGCAGGGCAGCCCCGUCACCAUGGCAGCGGGGACCUUCCUUAGGGGCGACGUGUUGCUAUGGUAACGGCGGGUCUCCAAUCAGGCGCCGAACGGGGCAGCCCUGUUGCCAUGGCAGCGGGGGGCUUCCCAUGUGGCCGGCGCGCAGUAUGGCGGCGUCCAUGGCGAGCGCGGGAACGGGACCGCGCUGAGCGCGGGGUCCCGGAGCCGGUACCGGGCAGCGGAGCUGGGACCGCCCGGGAAUGGCGGAGGGGCCGGGACGGGCCAGGGCUGGCCCGGCCCGGAGCCGCUCCCCAGGAUCCGGAUCCAGUGGAUCCCAUGGAUCUCCGGGAUCAGCUGGACGAGCUGGACGAGCUGGAUGCAGAAAUCCUGGGAAUGGCCAGAGCUGGGUCCAGAACGGGGAAACGCGGCGGGAAGGGGCCGGGCCCCCAAAAAGGUACCGGGAAUUCUCUUGGGAUCGACCCCAAUCCUGUGGGAUCGACCCCAAUCCCAUGGGAUCAAACCCCAUUCCAUGGGAUCAACCCCAUUGCUGAGGGAUCGACCCCAAUCCUGAGGGAUCCACCCCAUUGCUGUGGGAUCGACCCCAUUUUAUGGGAUCAAUCCCAUUCCUUGGGAUCAACCCCAAUCCCACGGGAUCAACCCUGGGAUCAACCCCAAUCCUGUGGGAUCACCCCAUUGCUGUGGGAUCAACCCCAUUCCAUGGAUCGACCCCAGUCCC